Molecule: transfer RNA, 64 nt
Filed under: Ixodes scapularis (black-legged tick)
Lineage: Eukaryota; Metazoa; Arthropoda; Arachnida; Ixodida; Ixodidae
Rfam family: tRNA
About the family: Transfer RNA (tRNA) molecules are approximately 80 nucleotides in length. Their secondary structure includes four short double-helical elements and three loops (D, anti-codon, and T loops).
Source: Rfam by way of RNAcentral
GCUUCGUCGGUAGCGCGUCUGGCUCGCAACCUGAGGGACGUGGGUUCGAAUCCCGCAUGAAGUU